GCGAUAUGUGGAGGGUUUUCUCGAGCUCUCCAACCGGGUGAGCUGGCACGACGCCGCUCUAUGUACGUGCUUCCUGCUGGGGUUGGAUGACGAGAUUAUCCACUGCGAUCUUCCGGUGUGUGACUUUCCCUUGAGUGAGCUGAAUAAUCUUGUGCUUUUCUUAAAUGGUUCUGACUUCGAAGUUGAAGAAGUAAAGGAACAUCCCAAGCCUCGUCAUCCAGCUCACCUCAUGCCGAGAAACCCCACAUACCUCUCUAAUGGAUCCUACCGCCUGCCCAACCCCAAAUUCCCCGCUGUCCUCCGAAGCUCCACCGUAGUCCUCAGCCCAGGAGCACCGACCGCUCGGAAGUCAAGAUGGCCAGCCUCUUAACAGUCAAGCCUGCCCGCCGCCACUGAUGCAAGCACACCGGCCGCGGCUCUCUCCAGCCCACCUGCCAUUCUGAAGUCAAGCUGUGCCUGCUCCUUCAGAGCACCCUCCAGUGCCAGCUCCUCGGAGCAGUCAUUGGACCUGAUGAUCCAGCUGUUUGAGCUAAACAAGAGGACACUCAUUCAGUGGUUUCAAUAGUGGCAGAAAAAUCAGGAAAUGAGUGUCCUCGCUCAGGGACUGACUCCACCUGACCCAAUUGCUGUGGCUGAUACACAGCUUCCUUCUCCGAGGCAAAAAUUGGAUGACGCGCCAUCAACAUCAGGCCCAAAACAUCAAUUUAUCCUUCCGCCAAAUCGAGAAGGACAGGCUCCUCUUCUGCGACCAGGUCGACGGCCCGCUGAUUCCAUCUUCUGGUGCUUCGACAUCCAGUGCAGGCUCCACCUGCUCCUGCGUCUGCUGCUCCUGUGUCCCAUUACACCCAGAGGAACAGGCGCCGGCAGGCCCUGGAGAUGGAAAGCAGAGUCCAUAAGAGGAAGUAUGUGUGAGGGGUUACUUUUAACGCAUGCAGCAAAUGUGAGCAGCCCAAAACUAACGAUUUUGGUCAUAGCCGAGAUGGUAUGGUAUGUUUGAAAUGGAAAACGGAAAAUCGUUAGAUGACUGGUUGGCAGAACAGCGCCAGGAAAUUAAAUGCCAAACUCCACCUCCUCAGUAAAUAAUAUAUUUCCUGUAUGUUGUGUGUAUAUAUAUAUAUAUAACAUGG
Molecule: long non-coding RNA, 1127 nt
Organism: Sinocyclocheilus grahami
Lineage: Eukaryota; Metazoa; Chordata; Actinopteri; Cypriniformes; Cyprinidae
Exons: 3
Source: RefSeq, a predicted model, not a curated record